UACGUAGGGUGCGAGCGUUAAUCGGAAUUACUGGGCGUAAAGCGUGCGCAGGCGGUUCGUUAAGUCAGCUGUGAAAGCCCCAGGCUCAACCUGGGAAUGGCGGUUGAAACUGGCGAACUAGAAUCUGGCAGAGGGGGGUGGAAUUCCACGUGUAGCAGUGAAAUGCGUAGAGAUGUGGAGGAACACCGAUGGCGAAGGCAGCCCCCUGGGCUGAGAUUGACGCUCAGGCACGAAAGCGUGGGGAGCAAACAGG
This 253-nucleotide ribosomal RNA is filed under the name uncultured bacterium. RNAcentral's name for it is "partial 16S ribosomal RNA". It matches the Rfam family "Bacterial small subunit ribosomal RNA", at positions 524 to 776 of the family's 1533-position model. The record is from RNAcentral.